Molecule: ribosomal RNA, 924 nt
Filed under: uncultured Bacteroidota bacterium
Lineage: Bacteria; Pseudomonadati; Bacteroidota
Description: bacterial SSU rRNA
Rfam family: Bacterial small subunit ribosomal RNA
Source: RNAcentral
AGGGAGAUUGUUGGAUUCGUCUGACAUGAAACCGGCGCACGGGUGCGUAACACGUAUGCAACCUACCUUUAACUGGGGUAUAGCUCAGAGAAAUCUGAAUUAAUCCCCCAUAAGACUACGACAUGGCAUCAUGAUGUAGUUAAAGCUCCGGCGGUUAAGGAUGGGCAUGCGGUACAUUAGCUAGUUGGUGAGGUAAUGGCUCACCAAGGCUACGAUGUAUAGGGGGUCUGAGAGGAUGAUCCCCCACACUGGUACUGAGACACGGACCAGACUCCUACGGGAGGCAGCAGUAGGGAAUAUUGGUCAAUGGACGCAAGUCUGAACCAGCCAUGCCGCGUGAAGGAUGAAGGCCCUCUGGGUCGUAAACUUCUCUUAUUAGGGAAGAAAACAUGGGAUGCGUCCCAAACUGACGGUACUUAAUGAAUAAGGAUCGGCUAACUUCGUGCCAGCGGCCGCGGUAAGACGAAGGAUCCAAGCGUUGUCCGGAUUUACUGGGUUUAAAGGGUGCGUAGGCGGAAAAUUAAGUCAGUGGUGAAAGCCCGCAGCUCAACUGUGGAACUGCCAUUGAAACUGAUUUUCUUGAAUAUAGCUGAGGCAGAUGGAAUAUAACAUGUAGCGGUGAAAUGCUUAGAUAUGUUAUAGAACACCGAUUGCGAAGGCAGUCUGCUAAACUAUUAUUGACGCUGAGGCACGAAAGCGUGGGGAGCGAACAGGAUUAGAUACCCUGGUAGUCCACGCCCUAAACGUUGAUUACUCGCUGUUGGCGAUAUACUGUCAGUGGCUAAGCGAAAGCGUUAAGUAAUCCACCUGGGAAGUACGACCGCAAGGUUGAAACUCAAAGGAAUUGACGGGGGCCCGCACAAGCGGAGGAGCAUGUGGUUUAAUUCGAUGAUACGCGAGAAACCUUACCUGGGCUUAAAUGUC